Long non-coding RNA from Anolis carolinensis (green anole), 1548 nucleotides. RefSeq lists it as uncharacterized. Lineage: Eukaryota; Metazoa; Chordata; Lepidosauria; Squamata; Anolidae. The transcript is spliced from 2 exons. The record is from RefSeq and is a predicted model, not a curated record.
AGGGGACUUUGUGGAAACCUUUGUUCUCAUCCGCAGGGAAAUUGGGUACAAGGACAUCAAUGGUCUGGAAGAAAGAAGUGUUGAUGUGAGCGCUCCAGAGCUGCUAAGAGACAACUAGAUGCCGAGAGGAGCACAACUGCUGCAAGGAAAACCACUCUUGACUGAAACAAGUUGCCCACAGAAGGCUUUUUAAAUUAGGUUUAGUAUUGUCCACUCCAUUUUGAGGGCAUCAGUCCAGUUUUGUGCAGAACAGCCAUGAUUUUGUGUUUUUACCCUAGCACAGAAGUUGUUGAUGGCCUCUGCAGGAAAGCCUCGGCGCCGCAGAGCUGUCAGUGUAAAGAGCCGUGGGUCGUCCCAGUCCCUAGAAAAAGCAGCAACAGCAGUGAGGAGCAGGGAGAUGAGUAGGUACCCCAGACAAUUCCUGCACCCGCCCCCAGUACACAGACAAUUUAGCCCAACCUGCCCCUUACCUGACUGCCCCUGCCUCAACAAGGCGAAUGAUCUUCCGUUUGGAGACAACCGUGUAGAGGAGAUUGAGGCGCCCAUAUUCCCACUGCACAGGGCAGUAUACAUCCAGGGCAUUGCAGAGCCAGAAAUAGGAGGAGCGUCUGCCGUGAGAGAAGGAAACAGUGCUUGUCAAAUCAGGUUUUGAAUAAAGCAGGAGGUGCAAGCCUCAGGCUGGUGAGAGCCAUGUGUUUCUGCGCCUCCCCUUUUCUUAAAUAUUAUUAACUUUCAAUGCCUGUCCAAUUUUUAGUAAAAUAGUUUUUUGAUAGGAGCAGAAGUGCAAAAACAAACAGGAAAAGAGCAGAGAUCAAGGCAACUCCCCUUCCCCUCUUAAUCAUGAGGACUAGAAACCCAUCUUUCCAUAGAGGUGAAAAUCAAAAUCCUCAAAAUACAAUGGGAGAUGCUACUCCUGCACAGAGAAUAAAGGCAUCUCUACACAGUGAGAACUUGUAGUUUCUGUGUUAGUGAGAUGAGUCUAUUGCAGAUUUUAACCAGGACGAGCACUGUGGUCUGCGGAGGAGGCCCUGCUCUCGGUCCCACUCCCGUCUCAAGUGGAGCUGGUGGGGACAAGAGAGGGGGCCUUCUCCAUGAUCCCCCCACCCACCUCUGGGACUCCGUCCCCAAAGAAGUAAAAAUUGCCCCCUCUCUCCUCUCCUUUAAAAAGCUUUUAAAAAGUCAUUUAUGCAAUUUAGCAUAUGGAGAAGAGGAGGACUAGUACAUCUCUAUAUAUAUUCUCGCCUAGAUAUUGAACACCUACCUCAGCCUGUUGGAUGCUGUAUACUACCUUAUGUUUUAAUUGCCUUUUUAGUUUAACUUGUAAUAAUUUUUCAGGUGAUAAUUGUAUGUGAUGUAUUUAAGUAUAAUUUUCCGGGGUUUUUUUGCUAGUUUUAUAAGUUCAUAUUGAUAUUGUUUUACCCACUGUUUUGAUGUGAUUUGUCAUUGUGUUUUCAGCAUUGAAUGUUUACCACUUUGUUAUUUUUGCUGGCAACCACCCUGAGUCCCCUCGGGGAGAUAGGGUGAGUUAUAAAUAAAAUAUUAUUAUUA